This 722-nucleotide ribosomal RNA is filed under the name Alternaria alternata. RNAcentral describes it as "SSU rRNA". It matches the Rfam family "Eukaryotic small subunit ribosomal RNA", at positions 64 to 796 of the family's 1831-position model. The record is from RNAcentral. Lineage: Eukaryota; Fungi; Ascomycota; Dothideomycetes; Pleosporales; Pleosporaceae.
UCUAGUUAGCAUUAUACCGUGAAACUGCGAAUGGCUCAUUAAAUCAGUUAUCGUUUAUUUGAUAAUACCUUACUACUUGGAUAACCGUGGUAAUUCUAGAGCUAAUACAUGCUGAAAAUCCCGACUUCGGAAGGGAUGUGUUUAUUAGAUAAAAAACCAAUGCCCUUCGGGGCUUUUUGGUGAUUCAUGAUAACUUUACGGAUCGCAUAGCCUUGCGCUGGCGACGGUUCAUUCAAAUUUCUGCCCUAUCAACUUUCGAUGGUAAGGUAUUGGCUUACCAUGGUUUCAACGGGUAACGGGGAAUUAGGGUUCGAUUCCGGAGAGGGAGCCUGAGAAACGGCUACCACAUCCAAGGAAGGCAGCAGGCGCGCAAAUUACCCAAUCCCGACACGGGGAGGUAGUGACAAUAAAUACUGAUACAGGGCUCUUUUGGGUCUUGUAAUUGGAAUGAGUACAAUUUAAACCUCUUAACGAGGAACAAUUGGAGGGCAAGUCUGGUGCCAGCAGCCGCGGUAAUUCCAGCUCCAAUAGCGUAUAUUAAAGUUGUUGCAGUUAAAAAGCUCGUAGUUGAAACUUGGGCCUGGCUGGCGGGUCCGCCUCACCGCGUGCACUCGUCCGGCCGGGCCUUCCUUCUGAAGAACCUCAUGCCCUUCACUGGGCGUGCUGGGGAAUCAGGACUUUUACUUUGAAAAAAUUAGAGUGUUCAAAGCAGGCCUUUGCUC